UACGAAGGGAGCUAGCGUUGUUCGGAAUCACUGGGCGUAAAGCGCACGUAGGCGGAUUGAUAAGUCGGGGGUGAAAUCCCGGGGCUCAACCUCGGAAUUGCCUUCGAUACUGUCUGUCUUGAGUCCGGGAGAGGUGAGUGGAAUUCCUAGUGUAGAGGUGAAAUUCGUAGAUAUUAGGAAGAACACCAGUGGCGAAGGCGGCUCACUGGCCCGGUACUGACGCUCAUGUGCGAAAGCGUGGGGAGCAAACAGG
This 253-nucleotide ribosomal RNA is filed under the name uncultured bacterium. RNAcentral's name for it is "partial 16S ribosomal RNA". It matches the Rfam family "Bacterial small subunit ribosomal RNA", at positions 524 to 776 of the family's 1533-position model. The record is from RNAcentral.